RNAcentral lists this long non-coding RNA (521 nucleotides) under Zonotrichia albicollis (white-throated sparrow). RNAcentral describes it as "lncRNA (ENSZALG00000016472.1)". Lineage: Eukaryota; Metazoa; Chordata; Aves; Passeriformes; Passerellidae. The record is from RNAcentral.
CAAAGAGAUCCCUUUGCUGUCUGGGCUUCUCAAAUUCCCAGCAAAACAUCUGAAAAAAAAAUAAAAUAAAGAGAGAGAGUGAAGCCUUCCUGCCAAUUGCAUUAAGUAGCCAAAGGAUCACUCCAUUAAGUCUGGCAGGGGGAAAAAGACACAUCAGAGGAAAAGGGAAUCUCUCAUAUGCCCUGGGAGACAGUGAGACAAAUCUGGAAUUCCUCCCUGUCAACCAGGCUAUGAUCAACUCUGCCAUUCAGCAGGACUCUGACAGACUUUCCAGCCAUUGAGGUCAAUCAGGGAACCACCUCCAAGAGAGCCUCAGUACCUGAGCAGAACACAGUGCAUCAACUAUGUCAUUUCAACCUUAACUCCACAUUUCCUGACUCUGAUGAACUGUAGGAAAUCAUACCCUUAGUCUAAUUUCAGCAAAUUUUCUUCAUAAGAACAUGCUUUUACAGUCUGCUUAAGCAUGGAAUAGUAGAAAAAAGUAGAAUAAAAGUGCUUUAAAGGAUUGUGAAUUUUUAAUA